GACGAACGCUGGCGGCGUGCUUAACACAUGCAAGUCGAACGGUAAGGCCCUUCGGGGUACACGAGUGGCGAACGGGUGAGUAACACGUGGGUGAUCUGCCCUGCACUUCGGGAUAAGCCUGGGAAACUGGGUCUAAUACCGGAUAGGACUCCGGACUGCAUGGUCUGGGGUGGAAAGCUUUUGCGGUGUGGGAUGGGCCCGCGGCCUAUCAGCUUGUUGGUGGGGUGAUGGCCUACCAAGGCGACGACGGGUAGCCGGCCUGAGAGGGUGACCGGCCACACUGGGACUGAGAUACUGCCCAGACUCCUACGGGAGGCAGCAGUGGGGAAUAUUGCACAAUGGGCGCAAGCCUGAUGCAGCGACGCCGCGUGAGGGAUGACGGCCUUCGGGUUGUAAACCUCUUUCAGCACCGACGAAGCGCAAGUGACGGUAGGUGCAGAAGAAGGACCGGCCAACUACAUGCCAGCCGCCGCCGUAA
Molecule: ribosomal RNA, 478 nt
Filed under: uncultured bacterium
Lineage: Bacteria
Description: partial 16S ribosomal RNA
Rfam family: Bacterial small subunit ribosomal RNA
Source: RNAcentral